Molecule: ribosomal RNA, 460 nt
Filed under: uncultured Bacteroidota bacterium
Lineage: Bacteria; Pseudomonadati; Bacteroidota
Description: bacterial SSU rRNA
Rfam family: Bacterial small subunit ribosomal RNA
Source: RNAcentral
CCUACGGGAGGCUGCAGUGAGGAAUAUUGGUCAAUGGGCGCAAGCCUGAACCAGCCAUCCCGCGUGAAGGAAGAAGGCCCUACGGGUUGUAAACUUCUUUUCUGUUUGAAGAAUAAGCUCGUCGAGACGAGUGAUGCCGGUAGGACAGGAAUAAGCAUCGGCUAACUCCGUGCCAGCAGCCGCGGUAAUACGGAGGAUGCAAGCGUUAUCCGGAUUUAUUGGGUUUAAAGGGUGCGCAGGUGGUUUAAUAAGUCAGUGGUGAAAGUCUGGCGCUUAACGUUAGGAUUGCCAUUGAUACUGUUAGACUUGAAUAUGGAUGAGGUAGGCGGAAUGUGUAGUGUAGCGGUGAAAUGCUUAGAUAUUACACAGAACACCGAUUGCGAAGGCAGCUUACUAAUCCAUCAUUGACGCUGAGGCACGAAAGCGUGGGGAUCAAACAGGAUUAGAUACCCCUGUAGUC